Molecule: ribosomal RNA, 524 nt
Filed under: uncultured bacterium
Lineage: Bacteria
Description: partial 16S ribosomal RNA
Rfam family: Bacterial small subunit ribosomal RNA
Source: RNAcentral
GACGAACGCUGGCGGCGUGCUUAACACAUGCAAGUCGAACGAGACGAUUGAAAGCUUGCUUUUAAAAGUCGAGUGGCAAACGGGUGAGUAACGCGUAGACAACCUACCUUUGAGAUGGGGACAACAGUUCGAAAGGACUGCUAAUACCGAGUGUUGUAUAUUUUCCACAUGGAAGAUAUAUUAAAGAUGGCCUCUAUUUAUAAGCUAUCGCUCAAAGAUGGGUCUGCGUCUGAUUAGCUGGUUGGUGGGGUAACGGCCUACCAAGGCGACGAGCAGUAGCCGGUCUGCGAGGAUGAACGGCCUCAUUGGGACUGAGACACGGCCCAGACUCCUACGGGAGGCAGCAGUGGGGAAUCUUCCACAAUGGACGAAAGUCUGAUGGAGCAACGCCGCGUGAGUGAAGAAGGGUUUCGGCUCGUAAAGCUCUGUUGUCGGGGACGAAUGUGCAGUAUUUGAAUAAAGUACUGCAAUGACGGUACCUGACGAGGAAACCACGGCUAACUACGUGCCAGCCGCCGCAGUAA